GAUGAACGCUGGCGGCGUGCCUAAUACAUGCAAGUCGAGCGAACAGACGAGGAGCUUGCUCCUUUGACGUUAGCGGCGGACGGGUGAGUAACACGUGGGUAACCUACCUAUAAGACUGGGAUAACUUCGGGAAACCGGAGCUAAUACCGGAUAAUAUUUCGAACCGCAUGGUUCGAUAGUGAAAGAUGGCUCUGCUAUCACUUAUAGAUGGACCUGCGCCGUAUUAGCUAGUUGGUAAGGUAACGGCUUACCAAGGCAACGAUACGUAGCCGACCUGAGAGGGUGAUCGGCCACACUGGAACUGAGACACGGUCCAGACUCCUACGGGAGGCAGCAGUAGGGAAUCUUCCGCAAUGGGCGAAAGCCUGACGGAGCAACGCCGCGUGAGUGAUGAAGGUCUUCGGAUCGUAAAACUCUGUUAUUAGGGAAGAACAAAUGUGUAAGUAACUGUGCACGUCUUGACGGUACCUAAUCAGAAAGCCACGGCUAACUACGUG
Molecule: ribosomal RNA, 497 nt
Filed under: uncultured bacterium
Lineage: Bacteria
Description: partial 16S ribosomal RNA
Rfam family: Bacterial small subunit ribosomal RNA
Source: RNAcentral